Molecule: ribosomal RNA, 1345 nt
Filed under: uncultured bacterium
Lineage: Bacteria
Description: bacterial SSU rRNA
Rfam family: Bacterial small subunit ribosomal RNA
Source: RNAcentral
GAUGAACGCUAGCGGGAGGCCUAACACAUGCAAGCCGAGCGGUAUUUGUCCUUCGGGACAGAGAGAGCGGCGUACGGGUGCGGAACACGUGUGCAACCUACCUUUAUCAGGGGGAUAGCCUUUCGAAAGGAAGAUUAAUACCCCAUAAUAUAAACCAAGGCAUCUUGAUUUAUUGAAAACUCCGGUGGAUAGAGAUGGGCACGCGCAAGAUUAGAUAGUUGGUAGGGUAACGGCCUACCAAGUCAAUGAUCUUUAGGGGGCCUGAGAGGGUGAUCCCCCACACUGGUACUGAGACACGGACCAGACUCCUACGGGAGGCAGCAGUGAGGAAUAUUGGACAAUGGGUGAGAGCCUGAUCCAGCCAUCCCGCGUGAAGGACGACGGCCCUAUGGGUUGUAAACUUCUUUUGUAUAGGGAUAAACCUACUCUCGUGAGAGUAGCUGAAGGUACUAUACGAAUAAGCACCGGCUAACUCCGUGCCAGCAGCCGCGGUAAUACGGAGGGUGCAAGCGUUAUCCGGAUUUAUUGGGUUUAAAGGGUCCGUAGGCGGGCUUGUAAGUCAGUGGUGAAAUCUCAUAGCUUAACUAUGAAACUGCCAUUGAUACUGCAGGUCUUGAGUAAAGUAGAAGUGGCUGGAAUAAGUAGUGUAGCGGUGAAAUGCAUAGAUAUUACUUAGAACACCAAUUGCGAAGGCAGGUCACUAUGUUUUAACUGACGCUGAUGGACGAAAGCGUGGGGAGCGAACAGGAUUAGAUACCCUGGUAGUCCACGCCGUAAACGAUGCUAACUCGUUUUUGGGCUUUAGGGUUCAGAGACUAAGCGAAAGUGAUAAGUUAGCCACCUGGGGAGUACGUUCGCAAGAAUGAAACUCAAAGGAAUUGACGGGGGCCCGCACAAGCGGUGGAUUAUGUGGUUUAAUUCGAUGAUACGCGAGGAACCUUACCAAGGCUUAAAUGGGAAUUGACAGGUUUAGAAAUAGACUUUUCUUCGGACAAUUUUCAAGGUGCUGCAUGGUUGUCGUCAGCCCGUGCCGUGAGGUGUUAGGUUAAGUCCUGCAACGAGCGCAACCCCUGUCACUAGUUGCCAUCAUUCAGUUGGGGACUCUAGUGAGACUGCCUACGCAAGUAGAGAGGAAGGUGGGGAUGACGUCAAAUCAUCACGGCCCUUACGCCUUGGGCCACACACGUAAUACAAUGGCCGGUACAGAGGGCAGCUACCUAGCGAUAGGAUGCGAAUCUCGAAAGCCGGUCUCAGUUCGGAUUGGAGUCUGCAACUCGACUCUAUGAAGCUGGAAUCGCUAGUAAUCGCAUAUCAGCCAUGAUGCGGUGAAUACGUUCCCGGGCCU